This 73-nucleotide transfer RNA is filed under the name Camelus bactrianus (Bactrian camel). It matches the Rfam family "tRNA". Rfam says of the family: Transfer RNA (tRNA) molecules are approximately 80 nucleotides in length. Their secondary structure includes four short double-helical elements and three loops (D, anti-codon, and T loops). RNAcentral also lists the same sequence under 2 other names. Lineage: Eukaryota; Metazoa; Chordata; Mammalia; Artiodactyla; Camelidae. The record is from Rfam by way of RNAcentral.
GAUGAUAUAGUUCAAGUGAUAGAGCACGUGCCUAACAGGCACAAGAUCCUAGGUUCAAUCCCUAGUACCUCCU